AUUGAACGCUGGCGGCAGGCCUAACACAUGCAAGUCGAACGGUAGCACAGAGAGCUUGCUCUCGGGUGACGAGAGGCGGACGGGUGAGUAAUGUCUGGGAAACUGCCCGAUGGAGGGGGAUAACUACUGGAAACGGUAGCUAAUACCGCAUAACGUCGCAAGACCAAAGUGGGGGACCUUCGGGCCUCACACCAUCGGAUGUGCCCAGAUGGGAUUAGCUAGUAGGUGGGGUAAUGGCCCACCUAGGCGACGAUCCCUAGCUGGUCUGAGAGGAUGACCAGCCACACUGGAACGGAGACACGGUCCAGACUCCUACGGGAGGCAGCAGUGGGGAAUAUUGCACAAUGGGCGCAAGCCUGAUGCAGCCAUGCCGCGUGUAUGAAGAAGGCCUUCGGGUUGUAAAGUACUUUCAGCGGGGAGGAAGGCGGUGAAGUUAAUAACUUCACCGAUUGACGUUACCCGCAGAAGAAGCACCGGCUAACUCCGUGCCAGCCGCCGCCGUAA
RNAcentral lists this ribosomal RNA (504 nucleotides) under uncultured bacterium. RNAcentral's name for it is "partial 16S ribosomal RNA". It matches the Rfam family "Bacterial small subunit ribosomal RNA", at positions 29 to 523 of the family's 1533-position model. The record is from RNAcentral.